AUUGAACGCUGGCGGCAGGCCUAACACAUGCAAGUCGAACGGUAACAGGAAGAAGCUUGCUUCUUUGCUGACGAGUGGCGGACGGGUGAGUAAUGUCUGGGAAACUGCCUGAUGGAGGGGGAUAACUCCUGGAAACGGUAGCUAAUACCGCAUAACGUCGCAACACCAAAGAGGAGGACCUUCGGGCCUCUUGCCAUCGGAUGUGCCCAGAUGGGAUUAGCUAGUAGGUGGGGUAACGGCUCACCUAGGCGACGAUCCCUAGCUGGUCUGAGAGGAUGACCAGCCACACUGGAACUGAGACACGGUCCAGACUCCUACGGGAGGCAGCAGUGGGGAAUAUUGCACAAUGGGCGCAAGCCUGAUGCAGCCAUGCCGCGUGUAUGAAGAAGGCCUUCGGGUUGUAAAGUACUUUUAGCGGGGAGGAAGGGAGUAAAGUUAAUACCUUUGCUCAUUGACGUUACCCGAAGAAGAAGCACCGGCUAACUCCGUG
Molecule: ribosomal RNA, 490 nt
Filed under: uncultured bacterium
Lineage: Bacteria
Description: partial 16S ribosomal RNA
Rfam family: Bacterial small subunit ribosomal RNA
Source: RNAcentral